UACGGGGGGGGCAAGCGUUGUUCGGAAUUACUGGGCGUAAAGGGCGCGUAGGCGGCCGCCUAAGUCAGACGUGAAAUCCCUCGGCUCAACCGGGGAACUGCGUCUGAUACUGGGUGGCUUGAAUUCGGGAGAGGGAUGCGGAAUUCCAGGUGUAGCGGUGAAAUGCGCAGAUAUCAGGAAGAACACCCGUGGCGAAGGCGGCUCUCUGGGACGGUACUGACGCUGAGACGCGAAAGCGUGGGGAGCGAACAGG
Molecule: ribosomal RNA, 253 nt
Filed under: uncultured bacterium
Lineage: Bacteria
Description: partial 16S ribosomal RNA
Rfam family: Bacterial small subunit ribosomal RNA
Source: RNAcentral